AGUCGAACGGGACUCUUCGGAGUUCAGUGGCGGACGGGUGAGUAACGCGUGAGAAUCUACCUUCAGGUCUGGGACAACCACUGGAAACGGUGGCUAAUACCGGAUGUGCCAUACAGUGAAAGAUUUAUCGCCUGAAGAUGAGCUCGCGUCUGAUUAGCUAGUUGGUGAGGUAAAAGCUCACCAAGGCGACGAUCAGUAGCUGGUCUGAGAGGAUGAUCAGCCACACUGGAACUGAGACACGGUCCAGACUCCUACGGGAGGCAGCAGUGGGGAAUUUUCCGCAAUGGGCGAAAGCCUGACGGAGCAAGACCGCGUGAGGGAGGAAGGCUCUUGGGUUGUAAACCUCUUUUGUCAGGGAAGAAGAAAGUGACGGUACCUGACGAAUCAGCCUCGGCUAACUCCGUGCCAGCAGCCGCGGUAAUACGGAGGAGGCAAGCGUUAUCCGGAAUCAUUGGGCGUAAAGCGUCCGCAGGUGGCUAUUCAAGUCUGCUGUCAAAGCACAGGGCUUAACCCUGUUAAGGCGGUGGAAACUGAAAGGCUAGAGUGCGGUAGGGGUAGAGGGAAUUCCCGGUGUAGCGGUGAAAUGCGUAGAGAUCGGGAAGAACAUCGGUGGCGAAAGCGCUCUACUGGACCGCAACUGACACUCAGGGAC
Molecule: ribosomal RNA, 652 nt
Filed under: uncultured bacterium
Lineage: Bacteria
Description: bacterial SSU rRNA
Rfam family: Bacterial small subunit ribosomal RNA
Source: RNAcentral